GGUCUUGUAUUCAUUUAUGAUUUUAUAUUGCAAAUAUAAAGGUGCAUUUUAUUUUUGCUAAGGCUU
RNAcentral lists this transfer RNA (66 nucleotides) under Dichoptera sp. WW-2021a. RNAcentral's name for it is "tRNA-Cys". Lineage: Eukaryota; Metazoa; Arthropoda; Insecta; Hemiptera; Fulgoridae. The record is from RNAcentral.